AGAGUUUGAUCCUGGCUCAGGAUGAACGCUUAGCGGCAGGCCUCAACACAUUGCAAGUCGAGGGGCAGCGGGAGUGCUUGCACUCGCCGGCGACCGGCGCACGGGUGCGGAACGCGUAUCGAAUCUGCCUCUAUCUGGGGGAUACCCCAUGGAAACGUGGAAUAAUACCCCAUAGUAUUACUUUAUCGCAUGAUUUAGUAAUUAAAGAAUUUCGGAUAGAGAUGACGAUGCGUAUCAUUAGCUAGUAGGUAAGGUAACGGCUUACCUAGGCAACGAUGAUUAGGGGUCCUGAGAGGGAGAUCCCCCACACUGGUACUGAGACACGGACCAGACUCCUACGGGAGGCAGCAGUGAGGAAUAUUGGACAAUGGUCGAAAGACUGAUCCAGCCAUGCCGCGUGCAGGAUGACUGCCCUAUGGGUUGUAAACUGCUUUUAUACGGGAAGAAAAACACCUACGUGUAGGUGACUGACGGUACCGUAAGAAUAAGGACCGGCUAACUCCGUGCCAGCAGCCGCGGUAAU
RNAcentral lists this ribosomal RNA (523 nucleotides) under uncultured bacterium. Its description in RNAcentral is "bacterial SSU rRNA". It matches the Rfam family "Bacterial small subunit ribosomal RNA", at positions 8 to 524 of the family's 1533-position model. The record is from RNAcentral.